This 468-nucleotide ribosomal RNA is filed under the name uncultured bacterium. RNAcentral's name for it is "partial 16S ribosomal RNA". It matches the Rfam family "Bacterial small subunit ribosomal RNA", at positions 28 to 507 of the family's 1533-position model. The record is from RNAcentral.
GACGAACGCUGGCGGCGUGCUUAACACAUGCAAGUCGAACGGAAAGGCCCUGCUUUUGUUGGGUGCUCGAGUGGCGAACGGGUGAGUAACACGUGAGUAACCUGCCCUUUACUUUGGGAUAACUUCAGGAAACUUUGUCUAAUACCGGAUAGGAGCUCCUGCUGCAUGGUUGGUGUUGGAAAGUUUCGGCGGUUGGGGAUGGACUUGCGGCUUAUCAGCUUGUUGGUGGGUUAGUGGCUUACCAAGGCUUUUACGGGUAGCCGGCCUGAGAGGGUGACCGGCCACAUUGGGAAUGAGAUACGGCCCAGACUCCUACGGGAGGCAGCAGUGAGGAAUAUUGAACAAUGGGCGGAAGCAUGCUGCAGCAACGCAGCGUGCGGGAUGACGGCCUUCGGGUUGUAACCCGCUUUCGACUGUGACGAAGCGUGAGUGACGGUAAUGGGUAGAGAAGCACCGGCUAACUACGUG